GAUGAACGCUGGCGGCGUGCUUAACACAUGCAAGUCGAACGGAAAGGCCGAAGCUUGCUUCGGUACUCGAGUGGCGAACGGGUGAGUAACACGUGGGUGAUCUGCCCUGUACUUCGGGAUAAGCUUGGGAAACUGGGUCUAAUACCGGAUAUGACGAUCUCUUGGAUGGGGUUGUGGAAAGCUUUUGCGGUAUGGGAUGAGCUCGCGGCCUAUCAGCUUGUUGGUGGGGUAAUGGCCUACCAAGGCGUCGACGGGUAGCCGGCCUGAGAGGGUGUACGGCCACAUUGGGACUGUGAUACGGCCCAGACUCCUACGGGAGGCAGCAGUGGGGAAUAUUGCACAAUGGGAGCAAGCCUGAUGCAGCGACGCCGCGUGGGGGAUGACGGCCUUCGGGUUGUAAACUCCUUUCGCAAUCGACGAAGCCUUUUGGUGACGGUAGGUUGAGAAGAAGCACCGGCUAACUACGUG
Molecule: ribosomal RNA, 468 nt
Filed under: uncultured bacterium
Lineage: Bacteria
Description: partial 16S ribosomal RNA
Rfam family: Bacterial small subunit ribosomal RNA
Source: RNAcentral